CCUACGGGAGGCAGCAGUGAGGAAUAUUGGUCAAUGGGCGUAAGCCUGAACCAGCCAAGUCGCGUGAGGGAUGAAGGUUCUAUGGAUCGUAAACCUCUUUUAUAAGGGCAUAAAGUGUGGGACGUGUCCUAUUUUGUAUGUACCUUAUGAAUAAGGAUCGGCUAACUCCGUGCCAGCAGCCGCGGUAAUACGGAGGAUCCGAGCGUUAUCCGGCUUUAUUGGGUUUAAAGGGUGCGUAGGCGGCCUUUUAAGUCAGCGGUGAAAGUCUGGGGCUCAACCCUAGAAUUGCCGUUGAAACUGGGGGGCUUGAGUGUGUUUGAGGCAGGCGGAAUGCGUGGUGUAGCGGUGAAAUGCGUAGAUAUCAGGCAGAACGCCGAUUGCGAAGGCAGCCUGCCAGGCCAUGACUGACGCUGAUGCACGAAAGCGUGGGGAUCAAACAGGAUUAGAUACCCCUGUAGUC
This 460-nucleotide ribosomal RNA is filed under the name uncultured bacterium. RNAcentral describes it as "partial 16S ribosomal RNA". It matches the Rfam family "Bacterial small subunit ribosomal RNA", at positions 338 to 795 of the family's 1533-position model. The record is from RNAcentral.